RNAcentral lists this RNase P RNA (203 nucleotides) under Ferrovum sp. RNAcentral describes it as "partial RNase P RNA component class A". It matches the Rfam family "Bacterial RNase P class A", at positions 150 to 367 of the family's 367-position model. From Rfam's summary of the family: Ribonuclease P (RNase P) is a ubiquitous endoribonuclease, found in archaea, bacteria and eukarya as well as chloroplasts and mitochondria. Its best characterised activity is the generation of mature 5'-ends of tRNAs by cleaving the 5'-leader elements of precursor-tRNAs. The record is from RNAcentral. Lineage: Bacteria; Pseudomonadati; Pseudomonadota; Betaproteobacteria; Ferrovales; Ferrovaceae.
GAGGGUGAAAAGGUGCGGUAAGAGCGCACCGCGGAGGCGGCAACGCUGACGGCAAGUUAAACCCCAUCCGGAGCAAGACCAAAUAGGGAAGCAUUGGCGUGGCUCGCGCCGCUUCCGGGUAGGUUGCUGGAGCCGUCAGGUAACUGGCGGCCUAGAGGAAUGACUGUCCUAGACAGAACCCGGCUUACAGAUCAACUUCCCCC